UACGGAGGGGGCUAGCGUUGUUCGGAAUUACUGGGCGUAAAGCGCACGUAGGCGGCUUUGUAAGUUAGAGGUGAAAGCCCGGGGCUCAACUCCGGAAUUGCCUUUAAGACUGCAUCGCUAGAAUUGUGGAGAGGUAAGUGGAAUUCCGAGUGUAGAGGCGAAAUUCGUAGAUAUUCGGAAGAACACCAGUGGCGAAGGCGACUUACUGGACACAUAUUGACGCUGAGGCGCGAAAGCGUGGGGAGCAAACGGG
This 253-nucleotide ribosomal RNA is filed under the name uncultured bacterium. RNAcentral describes it as "partial 16S ribosomal RNA". It matches the Rfam family "Bacterial small subunit ribosomal RNA", at positions 524 to 776 of the family's 1533-position model. The record is from RNAcentral.